RNAcentral lists this non-coding RNA (27 nucleotides) under Rattus norvegicus (Norway rat). The record is from RNAcentral. Lineage: Eukaryota; Metazoa; Chordata; Mammalia; Rodentia; Muridae.
UGGAUUUGGUCCUCUGUCUGAUUCCUC